UAAAAUUACCUAAAAUCAUGAAAAAGUUAAGCCAAGUUACAAAAAAAAUCAUGAAAAAGUUGACAACUAAGCAAAAUCACUUCAUAAAUAAUAGUAUAGAUUAUUUUUAAUAAACAAACACAAAUUUAUUAAAAUAAAAUUCAUAAUUAAAGAAUUAAAAUUUCAAAAUUGAAAUUAUUUAUUUGUCAGUAAAAUGGUAGAAUGAUGAAUUUUAAAAAGAAAUCAUUGUAUUACAUAAAAAAAAUAAAAAAAUGGUAAUGAUUAUGUAGAAUUAAGAAAAGGUAAUAUGAUAAUGUGGAUUAUUAAAAGGCAAAAAGUAUGAUGUCUAAUAAUAUAACAAUUAGAUGAUAA
This 351-nucleotide long non-coding RNA is filed under the name Brassica rapa (field mustard). Its description in RNAcentral is "long non-coding RNA (BRAP_LNC003411)". The record is from RNAcentral. Lineage: Eukaryota; Viridiplantae; Streptophyta; Magnoliopsida; Brassicales; Brassicaceae.